CCUACGGGAGGCUGCAGUGGGGAAUAUUGCACAAUGGGGGCAACCCUGAUGCAGCGACGCCGCGUGAGUGAAGAAGUAUUUCGGUAUGUUAAGCUUUUUCUGCAGGGGAGUAGAAAGACGGUCCCUGACCAUGAUGCAUCGGCUAACUACGUGCCAGCAGCCGCGGUAAUACGGAGGGGGCGAGCGUUAUCCGGAUUUACUGGGUGUAAAGGGAGCGUAGACGGGUGGGCAAGUCUGAAGUGAAAGCCUAGGGCUCAACCGUGAGACUGCUUUUGAAACUGUGGAGCUAGAGUGCUGGAGAGGUAAGUGGAAUUCGUGGUGUAGCGGUGAAAUGCGUAGAUAUUAGGAAGAACACCGAUGGCGAAGGCAGCUUACUGGACAGUAACUGACGUUGAGGCUCGAAAGCGUGGGGAGCAAACAGGAUUAGAUACCCGAGUAGUC
RNAcentral lists this ribosomal RNA (441 nucleotides) under uncultured bacterium. Its description in RNAcentral is "partial 16S ribosomal RNA". It matches the Rfam family "Bacterial small subunit ribosomal RNA", at positions 338 to 795 of the family's 1533-position model. The record is from RNAcentral.